UGGCUCAGUUGGUAGAGCAUGGCACUUGCAAUGCCAGGGUUGUGGGUUUGAUUCCUAU
This 58-nucleotide transfer RNA is filed under the name Hucho hucho (huchen). It matches the Rfam family "tRNA", at positions 8 to 63 of the family's 71-position model. Rfam says of the family: Transfer RNA (tRNA) molecules are approximately 80 nucleotides in length. The record is from Rfam by way of RNAcentral. Lineage: Eukaryota; Metazoa; Chordata; Actinopteri; Salmoniformes; Salmonidae.